Long non-coding RNA from Haplochromis burtoni (Burton's mouthbrooder), 193 nucleotides. RefSeq annotates it as trafficking protein particle complex subunit 1. Lineage: Eukaryota; Metazoa; Chordata; Actinopteri; Cichliformes; Cichlidae. The record is from RefSeq and is a predicted model, not a curated record.
AACUUAGCUGUAUAAAUUUCCUCGAAACAGUUUUAUUCGGGCACUUAAGUGAACAGCUCUGCAGUUGGGGUCCUGCGAGAAACAGGAAGAUAAGAUGACGGUUCAUAACUUGUACAUAUUUGACCGCAAUGGAAACUGUUUGUAUUACAACGAGUGGAACCGCAAGAAGCAGGCGGGCAUCUCCAAGGAGGAG